Molecule: long non-coding RNA, 416 nt
Organism: Mastomys coucha (southern multimammate mouse)
Lineage: Eukaryota; Metazoa; Chordata; Mammalia; Rodentia; Muridae
Exons: 3
Source: RefSeq, a predicted model, not a curated record
CACACAGGCUUAGAGUGGGUCUUCCACAUCAGUGAAGCCCAUUAGGGCAAUUCCUCAGGCAGCUUUCAAAGCCUAGGGUAACUGACUUCGGUCUCUCCCAUCAUCUGAAAAGAUCCACGUCUCUCAACUCUCACCCUGUGAUCUCAGUACAGGAUAUUCACAUUGUUAAAGGAAAAAUAAAUACAGAAAAACCCAAAUCACAGCUUCAAACCAACCACAGAGACACUUGGUGUGUGUUUGGACAACAUGUGGAGUCUGAAAUAGAGCUGGCAGCUCAAAGCUGAGAGAAAUGAGCUAGAGGCAAAGGAUGUAGUGCAGUUGGUAAGAUACCCCAAGUCCUGGGCUCAGUCCUUAGCAACUCAUGUUGGGUGUGCUGGUACAUGCCUAUAAUCCUAACCCUGGGGCUGCAGAGGUAG